GCCCUCGUAGCUUAGCCGGUAGAGCGCAUGACUGUUAAUCAUGAGGUCGGCAGUUCGAGUCUGCCCGAGGGCG
Molecule: transfer RNA, 73 nt
Filed under: Candidatus Woesearchaeota archaeon
Lineage: Archaea; Nanobdellati; Candidatus Woesearchaeota
Description: tRNA-Asn
Rfam family: tRNA
About the family: Transfer RNA (tRNA) molecules are approximately 80 nucleotides in length. Their secondary structure includes four short double-helical elements and three loops (D, anti-codon, and T loops). Further hydrogen bonds mediate the characteristic L-shaped molecular structure. tRNAs have two regions of fundamental functional importance: the anti-codon, which is responsible for specific mRNA codon recognition, and the 3' end, to which the tRNAs corresponding amino acid is attached (by aminoacyl-tRNA synthetases). tRNAs cope with the degeneracy of the genetic code in two manners: having more than one tRNA (with a specific anti-codon) for a particular amino acid; and 'wobble' base-pairing, i.e. permitting non-standard base-pairing at the 3rd anti-codon position.
Source: RNAcentral